GUGGUUGUGGUUCAGUGGUAGAGCACUUGCCUAGCAUGUGUGAGGUAUUGGGUUUGAUUCCCAGCACCAAUA
Ictidomys tridecemlineatus (thirteen-lined ground squirrel) is the source of this 72-nucleotide non-coding RNA. The record is from Rfam. Lineage: Eukaryota; Metazoa; Chordata; Mammalia; Rodentia; Sciuridae.